Molecule: long non-coding RNA, 477 nt
Filed under: Salvator merianae (Argentine black and white tegu)
Lineage: Eukaryota; Metazoa; Chordata; Lepidosauria; Squamata; Teiidae
Description: lncRNA (ENSSMRG00000016259.1)
Source: RNAcentral
CCUACUCCUCCUCCGGAGCUCGUGCGCCAGCAACUGCCGCGGCUUCGAUUGGGGCGCGAGCGAGCGCAAUCACUUGCGUGCCUUGCUCAGGUUGGCUGUAACUGGCGAGAGUACUGAACAUUUGGGCAGUGGAAAAAAAAAUCAGAUGCUCUGCAUCUUUUCUCCCUGGAAGCUACUUUUCCUGUGAGAGGGUAAGUUUAACUUUAUAAUGUCUCCUAAGUGUUUUGGAAGUAUAGCUUGAUUAUGAGCAUGGAAGAGCAUAGAGCUCANUGUGUACAUGAAAUCCAAAUAAGGCAUGAAAGCUUUAAGUGAAAUGUAUUGAUGCAUCUUGUUUAAGGGGAUUGAAAUAUAUUUCUGUAUUUUAGAUUGCCAGUAAGAAAACCUGUUUGUUCUUAUGACAAACAUUAAAGGUUGUGCAUAUUUAUAUAUGUGCUCACUAGCCUAUCAGGCCAAAUAAACAUACAAAAUCAGGUUCCA